CAGAAAUCACUUUCCAUGUGUCUUCUGAUCAUUAUCAUGAAACAUGAUAAAUGAUCUAGCCCAUGAGGUAUAAAUGAAAAUGAAAUGGAUAAUUGGAUUCUAUGUCUAAAUUGUGGCUGGAAUAGUCACAGCAAUUAUAAUUGAAUUUAUCUCAUAAAAAUGUGUUUGGCCCUAUGUUAAUGACCUUUCAUCAUCUUGAGCCUGUGAUGUUAUAUGAAACUAUUCAUAAGAUAAUUAUAAGAAGUUUAUCACAAUUGUAUAAAAAAUUCUCUAACACUUUAAAUUUUCUCUGUUUUUGCUUUAUUUGCCUAUAACUUGAAGUAUUCAGUAUUAUACUGUUUAUCUACAAUGGAUUUAAGCAGCUGAUACUGAUAAUCUUUUGAUA
RNAcentral lists this long non-coding RNA (385 nucleotides) under Bos taurus (domestic cattle). Its description in RNAcentral is "long non-coding RNA NONBTAT025624". Lineage: Eukaryota; Metazoa; Chordata; Mammalia; Artiodactyla; Bovidae. The record is from RNAcentral.